UACGGGAGGCAGCAGUGGGGAAUAUUGCACAAUGGGCGCAAGCCUGAUGCAGCCAUGCCGCGUGUAUGAAGAAGGCCUUCGGGUUGUAAAGUACUUUCAGUCGUGAGGAAGGUGUUAAGGUUAAUAACCUUAGCAAUUGACGUUAGCGACAGAAGAAGCACCGGCUAACUCCGUGCCAGCAGCCGCGGUAAUACGGAGGGUGCGAGCGUUAAUCGGAAUUACUGGGCGUAAAGGGCACGCAGGCGGUUAAUUAAGUUGGAUGUGAAAUCCCCGGGCUUAACCUGGGAAUGGCAUUCAAGACUGGUUAGCUAGAGUCUUGUAGAGGGGGUAGAAUUCCAUGUGUAGCGGUGAAAUGCGUAGAGAUGUGGAGGAAUACCGGUGGGCGAAGGCGGGCCCCUGGGACAAAGACUGACGCUCAUGUGCGAAAGCGUGGGGAGCAAACAGGGAUUAGAU
RNAcentral lists this ribosomal RNA (453 nucleotides) under uncultured bacterium. RNAcentral's name for it is "bacterial SSU rRNA". It matches the Rfam family "Bacterial small subunit ribosomal RNA", at positions 340 to 783 of the family's 1533-position model. The record is from RNAcentral.